ACGAACGCUGGCGGCGUGCUUAACACAUGCAAGUCGAACGGAAAGGCCCUGCUUUUGUGGGGUGCUCGAGUGGCGAACGGGUGAGUAACACGUGAGUAACCUGCCCUUGACUUUGGGAUAACUUCAGGAAACUGGGGCUAAUACCGGAUAGGAGCUCCUGCUGCAUGGUGGGGGUUGGAAAGUUUCGGCGGUUGGGGAUGGACUCGCGGCUUAUCAGCUUGUUGGUGGGGUAGUGGCUUACCAAGGCUUUGACGGGUAGCCGGCCUGAGAGGGUGACCGGCCACAUUGGGACUGAGAUACGGCCCAGACUCCUACGGGAGGCAGCAGUGGGGAAUAUUGCACAAUGGGCGGAAGCCUGAUGCAGCAACGCCGCGUGCGGGAUGACGGCCUUCGGGUUGUAAACCGCUUUCGCCUGUGACGAAGCGUGAGUGACGGGAAUGGGUAAAGAAGCACCGGCGAACUACGC
This 466-nucleotide ribosomal RNA is filed under the name uncultured bacterium. RNAcentral's name for it is "partial 16S ribosomal RNA". It matches the Rfam family "Bacterial small subunit ribosomal RNA", at positions 29 to 506 of the family's 1533-position model. The record is from RNAcentral.